GGCAGUUCUCAGGUGAGACACUCCAGAAUAAGGCUCCCUCCUCUCUGGUUCUGGGUGCAUCACCCGAGAACUGCA
Molecule: non-coding RNA, 75 nt
Organism: Myotis davidii
Lineage: Eukaryota; Metazoa; Chordata; Mammalia; Chiroptera; Vespertilionidae
Source: Rfam